GCUUGCUCCUUUGACGUUAGCGGCGGACGGGUGAGUAACACGUGGAUAACCUACCUAUAAGACUGGGAUAACUUCGGGAAACCGGAGCUAAUACCGGAUAACAUAUUGAACCGCAUGGUUCAAUAGUGAAAGGCGGCUUUGCUGUCACUUAUAGAUGGAUCCGCGCCGUAUUAGCUAGUUGGUAAGGUAACGGCUUACCAAGGCAACGAUACGUAGCCGACCUGAGAGGGUGAUCGGCCACACUGGAACUGAGACACGGUCCAGACUCCUACGGGAGGCAGCAGUAGGGAAUCUUCCGCAAUGGGCGAAAGCCUGACGGAGCAACGCCGCGUGAGUGAUGAAGGUCUUCGGAUCGUAAAACUCUGUUAUCAGGGAAGAACAAAUGUGUAAGUAACUGUGCACAUCUUGACGGUACCUGAUCAGAAAGCCACGGCUAACUACGUGCCAGCAGCCGCGGUAAUACGUAGGUGGCAAGCGUUAUCCGGAAUUAUUGGGCGUAAAGCGCGCGUAGGCGGUUUUUUAAGUCUGAUGUGAAAGCCCACGGCUCAACCGUGGAGGGUCAUUGGAAACUGGAAAACUUGAGUGCAGAAGAGGAAAGUGGAAUUCCAUGUGGUUAGCGGUGAAAAA
Molecule: ribosomal RNA, 627 nt
Filed under: Staphylococcus warneri
Lineage: Bacteria; Bacillati; Bacillota; Bacilli; Caryophanales; Staphylococcaceae
Description: bacterial SSU rRNA
Rfam family: Bacterial small subunit ribosomal RNA
Source: RNAcentral